RNAcentral lists this ribosomal RNA (433 nucleotides) under uncultured bacterium. Its description in RNAcentral is "partial 16S ribosomal RNA". It matches the Rfam family "Bacterial small subunit ribosomal RNA", at positions 29 to 507 of the family's 1533-position model. The record is from RNAcentral.
AACGAACGCUGGCGGCAUGCCUAACACAUGCAAGUCGAACGAGACCUUCGGGUCUAGUGGCGCACGGGUGCGUAACGCGUGGGAACCUGCCCUUAGGUUCGGAAUAACUCCCCGAAAGGGGUGCUAAUACCGGAUAAUGUCUUCGGACCAAAGAUUUAUCGCCUUUGGAUGGGCCCGCGUUGGAUUAGCUAGUUGGUAGGGUAAAAGCCUACCAAGGCGACGAUCCAUAGCUGGUCUGAGAGGAUGAUCAGCCACACUGGGACUGAGGCACGGCUCAGACUCCUACGGGAGGCAGCAGUGGGGAAUAUUGGACAAUGGGCGAAAGCCUGAUCCAGCAAUGCCGCGUGAGUGAUGAAGGCCUUAGGGUUGUAAAGCUCUUUUACCCGGGAUGAUAAUGACAGUACCGGGAGAAUAAGCUCCGGCUAACUCCGUG